RNAcentral lists this ribosomal RNA (460 nucleotides) under uncultured bacterium. RNAcentral's name for it is "partial 16S ribosomal RNA". It matches the Rfam family "Bacterial small subunit ribosomal RNA", at positions 338 to 795 of the family's 1533-position model. The record is from RNAcentral.
CCUACGGUGGGCAGCAGUGAGGAAUAUUGGUCAAUGGGCGCGAGCCUGAACCAGCCAAGUAGCGUUAAGGAUGACUGCCCUACGUGUUGUAAACUUCUUUUAUACAGGAAUAAAGUGAGGCACGUGUGCCUUUUUUUAUGUACUUUAUGAAUAAGGAUCGGCUAACUCCGUGCCAGCAGCCGCGGUAAUACGGAGGAUCCGAGCGUUAUCCGGAUUUAUUGGGUUUAAAGGGAGCGUAGAUGGGUUGUUAAGUCAGUUGUGAAAGUUUGCGGCUCAACCGUAAAAUUGCAAGUGAUACUGGCAGUCGUGAGUACAGUUGAGGUAGGCGGAAUUCGUGGUGUAGCGGUGAAAUGCUUAGAUAUCACGAAGAACUCCGAUUGCGAAGGCAGCUUACUAAACUGCCACUGACAUUGAUGCUCGAAAGUGUGGGUAUCAAACAGGAUUAGAUACCCCUGUAGUC